This 328-nucleotide unclassified non-coding RNA is filed under the name soil metagenome. RNAcentral's name for it is "partial contains 5.8S ribosomal RNA, internal transcribed spacer 2, and large subunit ribosomal RNA". The stretch from base 1 to 120 matches the Rfam family "5.8S ribosomal RNA", at positions 35 to 154 of the family's 154-position model. The record is from RNAcentral.
GAUGAAGAACGUAGUGAAAUGCGAUAAGUAAUGUGAAUUGCAGAAUUCAGUGAAUCAUCGAAUCUUUGAACGCACAUUGCGCCCCUUGGUAUUCCGAGGGGCAUGCCUGUUCGAGCGUCAUUAUAACCCCUCAAGCUCAGCUUGGUGUUGGGGCCUGCCGCACGGGCAGCCCUUAAAAUCAGUGGCGGUGCUAUCUGGCUCUAAGCGUAGUAAUUCUUCUCGCUAUAGAGUCCCGGUGGAUGCUUGCCAUUAACCCCCAAUUUUCUAUGGUUGACCUCGGAUCAGGUAGGGAUACCCGCUGAACUUAAGCAUAUCAAUAAGCGGAGGA